This 441-nucleotide ribosomal RNA is filed under the name uncultured bacterium. Its description in RNAcentral is "partial 16S ribosomal RNA". It matches the Rfam family "Bacterial small subunit ribosomal RNA", at positions 338 to 795 of the family's 1533-position model. The record is from RNAcentral.
CCUACGGGAGACAGCAGUGGGGAAUAUUGCACACUGGGGGAAACCCUGAUGCAGCGACGCCGCGUGAGUGAAGCAGUAUUUCGGUAUGUAAAGCUCUAUCAGCCGGGAAGAAGAAAGACGGUACCUGACUAAGAAGCCCCGGCUAACUACGUGCCAGCAGCCGCGGUAAUACGUAGGGGGCAAGCGUUAUCCGGAUUUACUGGGUGUAAGGGGAGCGUAGACGGUGGUGCAAGUCUGAAGUGAAAGCCCAGGGCUCAACCCUGGGACUGCUUGGGAAACUGUGGAGAGAGAGUGCUGGAGAGGUAAGUGGAAUUCCUAGUGUAGCGGUGAAAUGCGUAGAUAGUAGGAGGAACACCAGUGGCGAAGGCGGCUUACUGGACAGUAACUGACGUUGAGGCUCGAAAGCGUGGGGAGCAAACAGGAUUAGAUACCCUUGUAGUC